AGCUUUGCACAGUGGCAGUAUCGUAGCCAGUGAGGUUUAUCUGAGACACAAUUAUUGCUAAUUGAAAACUUGGGGCACCUGUGUGACCUAGGUUGAGCGUCCGACUCUUGGUUUCAGCUCAAGUCAUGAUCUCAUG
This is a small nuclear RNA of Ailuropoda melanoleuca (giant panda), 136 nucleotides long. Its record names the gene U4. It matches the Rfam family "U4 spliceosomal RNA". From Rfam's summary of the family: U4 small nuclear RNA (U4 snRNA) is a component of the major U2-dependent spliceosome. The structure of U4 snRNA from yeast and human has been reported. The record is from Ensembl. Lineage: Eukaryota; Metazoa; Chordata; Mammalia; Carnivora; Ursidae.